UACAGAGGUCUCAAGCGUUGUUCGGAUUCAUUGGGCGUAAAGGGUGCGUAGGCGGCGCGGUAAGUCGGGUGUGAAAUCUUGGAGCUUAACUCCGAAACUGCAUUCGAUACUGCCGUGCUUGAGGACUGGAGAGGAGACUGGAAUUUACGGUGUAGCGGUGAAAUGCGUAGAUAUCGUAAGGAAGACCAGUGGCGAAGGCGGGUCUCUGGACAGUUCCUGACGCUGAGGAGCGAAAGCUAGGGGAGCAAACGGG
This 253-nucleotide ribosomal RNA is filed under the name uncultured bacterium. Its description in RNAcentral is "partial 16S ribosomal RNA". It matches the Rfam family "Bacterial small subunit ribosomal RNA", at positions 524 to 776 of the family's 1533-position model. The record is from RNAcentral.